Vigna unguiculata (cowpea) is the source of this 11964-nucleotide long non-coding RNA. The record is from RefSeq and is a predicted model, not a curated record. Lineage: Eukaryota; Viridiplantae; Streptophyta; Magnoliopsida; Fabales; Fabaceae.
CAUCCUCCACUCAGAAAGUAGAUGAAUGUGAACAAGUUCCUGGAUAACAAGCCUAAGGGUUUUCUUAUUGAUAAUAGUGACGAUAGUGACGAUAUUGACCGUGACCUUGAUAUGGAACUAGAGCUUCUAACUAUGAUGAAUAUGCUAACUAUGGAUAUGAUGCCAGAAAUAGACCGAUUUUAUAUCACCUUUCACUUCGAAUUAGCAAAAGCAAUGUCUCCUUGCAUAAUAUGGAUUCCUAACAUUCAUGAUCUGGAUGUGACUGAGUCGAAUUACUUAUCCCUCGGUCUUUUAGUGAACUAUCUCUCCAGGGAUUGUGAAAGAUGUUCCACUAAAAAUAUUCUUGUUAUUGCUCUCUCUCUUGCAGAGGUUCUUCUUCUGGCGUGUUUUUCCUUGGUUGUGUCGUAGAAGAAAAGGGUAUUGCUUUCGCGGGUUUGUGUUGGUGUUCGCUCCUUCCCUUGCAAGGUGGGCUUUUGAAACGUGCGUUUUGGGUGUCAGGUGUUUCGAUUGGAAGGCAUUGUAGUGUUUCAGCAUUGGAAGUGGAAUCCAUUGAAGUAGGAGCAUGUUUUAGUUUUAAAAAUGCAGAAAUCUAUGGGAAGUUGAAGAGAUUGUAGUCCCAUGUGAUUAUCAUUUUCUAUUAUUACAUUGGCGGAGGUCAGAAAUUGUUACUCCCACUUUGGUUUCUUAGUGAUGUGGAGGGUGGAAAGCAAGGAUUUCAAGAUCACAUGGACUUGUCUCAUUAUAUAGGAGGUAGAAUUUCAGUACUUGUGCACAUUUCUUCGUUACGUCACAAUGGUUAAACGAAAGCUUCCAAAACUAGUUGACAACAAGGUAAGUUUGAAUUUCUUACGAAAUUUUUGUCAUGAUAUGAAACUAUAUUUUUUGUUGAAUUAAAAAUGAAUUUUUAUUUUAUGAAAUGUUAUUUUAUAGAUUCGGGUCCAUGAUUUUGUUAAAACAUAAUAUAUUGUUCACUUGAAUUGUUUAUUAAGAGAUAUACAUCGUUCAAAAGUAGAAAAUACACCUUUCAAAUGGUGUUUGCAAAUGGAAAAGCUUCUGAAUAUCUCAAAAUUGUUGUUGAUGGAGAUGCUAAGGAGAUGGGUUCCAGAAUUUAAAGGGUUUCGUGUAAUGCAAAACCUAGUCUCACUUAGGUGUGUUGAUGUUUGUAUGUGCUUCGGAUUAAGUGUAGUAGGUGAUCAAGUUCAAUUUGAUGACGAAAUAUGUGGGAAGUUGGGUCAUUGUUUGAUGGUGAGGCAGCAACAAUUAAAACUAUAACUAUGAAGAUGAGAUCCAUGCUAAGUAGCGAUGAGGUGGAUGAUGUGGAUGGUGUUUAUCGGUUAUAUAUAUAUUGAUGUGUUUUGUUGUUUAAUUUUUUCCCAAUACCUCUAGUAGAAUAAGAGCAUUACCUUUCAAAUUGCUGGAUAACAUCGCAUCACUAAGCAACUACAAUUGGGGUGGUGUCGUUUAUACUUUCUUGAUUGAAGUCAUAAGUCGGUCAUAUGAGGUUUAUGUGCAACAACAAAACAAGCAUGCCAUUAGCAUAAUUGGAGCAGUUCCAAUGAUGCAGGUUUGGUUUGUGGAACAUCUUUUCUCAGGUCCUGUUGAACGGGUUUGUUGUUUCCCCAGAAUUUUGGAAUGGCCAUCUCUAACCAUAAGGAAGGACAGGGAACAUUGAGUUUGCCUUUGAAAAUAAUCAGGUUUUUAAUGUCCAUCUUCAAUUAUAGUGAUUUACAAUCUUCUUAAAUACUUUAUGUGAUUAGCUUUAAUCAUAUUUAUCAACAUCCAAUUUUGUCUAGGUGAAUAAAUUUAUUUUUGUUAAAAAAAAUAAAAAUUAAAAAAAUGUUUUAGUUAAUGGUAAACAAAAAAAAGGUAAAAUAAGAUUUUCUUCAAAGAUUUUCAAACUUUAAUUUUAGGAAAAAAAAAGAAAAAAAGAAGGAAGGAAGAGCCCAAUUUGUUUUUAAUUAUCAUACUCUUUUUCUUGAGUCCAACAACUCAACCUAUCUUCUACCCUUUAUUCUGAUAGAGAAAUUAGUGAUAUAAUUCUAAUAAUUCAAAGCAAUAUCUCUUAAUAUAAUUAGAAUCAAUAUUACUAAUUGGGAUUGAUUUUGUGCUCUGAUUUAUUAAUGGUUAGAAUCAUUAUUAUUGAUCUUUUUUGAUAUUGUCCUCUGAUUUGCUAUGAUUUGAUUCCCAUAAUGUAUUGCUAUCAUGACCAAUUCCUUCUUUAUAUUAUUCUUUACAAUUAAGGCUAGGAUUACAUUGAUAUUGUAAUGUGUGAAUAUAAAUAGACAGUCUGUCACAUGAAAAGGGAUCGAAAGAGAAGAAGAAAACAUUCUCUACUCCUACUCUCUCCUUCUCAUUACCAUCCACAAAGACACACCUCUUUUAUUAUCUCUCUUGACAAAAAAAAUUAGAAAAGAAGGCAAGAAAAUAAGAAGAAGAGAAAAGGUAGUUAUAAUAUACAAAAUAAGAUGGUGAGAUUGAUACAAGAGAAGCGGGAUUGAAAAGUAUAGAAGGUAUGUUGUUGUCAUUAUCUUCUUUUAUUUAUUCAUUCCCUUCUUCUUAUAAUAUUAUCUUUUAAUAUUGAAUGCGUUUUUAUUUUACACCUAACUUCGAUCUUUUCCUUAAGAGAUAUUAUUUUCUACUGUUCAUAAAUAUUUUAUUUUAAAAAUCAUAAAAAAUAGUUUUCUUCGUUUCUUUUAGUGUCUGUCAGGUUGUUCGCGUCGCGUGACACCAAUUUUUCAAAUUUCUUUUUCUAAAAAAAUAUAAAAAAAUUUAAAGAAUUAAAGAUAAAAAACAAUUUUCUUUGUUUACUCUUUGUGUUUGUCCGGCCGCUCGCGUCGCAUGACAUUCAUUUCUAAAUAAUUAAAAAUACCAAAAAAACAUAAAAAAAUUUCAAAAUUCACUAAAUAAAAGUCAAAUCUUUUCUUGUAUAGUUUUUUCACAAAAAAUUACGUAACCCUGAUUCUCCAUUAUAAAUGAAGAUACGUAUGAGCGAUGAUUAAUCCUUGUGGGGCUACAAAAACCAAAAAAAAAUUAUUUUUGUUUAUUUUGUAAAUUCAUUUAUUAUUAUUUUCGGAGAAACCACAUCCUUUGGCACGUUUAAUUAAAGGUACCAUCUUAGGACGAGUGUUGUGGGGUGCUAAUACCUUCCCCAUGUGUAAUCGACUCCCGGACCCAAAAUCUCAUUUUUUGCAGACUUUCUCUUAUCAUUUUGGUUUUUUCGUAGUUUUCCAGGAUAAACUAUGGUGACGACUCUAAACUCUGUUUUUUUUCAAAUUUUAUUUUUGGUUCGUCGUCGCAUCGUGAUUUCGGUUGCGACAGAUGGCGACUCUACUAGGGACGCUAUAAAGUCAGGCGAUUUAUUUGGAUGUGCAAAAUUGAUGUGAUUUUUCAUCAUAUUUUUUUUCUUUUUGGGUAUGAAUAUUCUUGUCUCUUUUUUAUAUUUCGAAUACUUGUAUUUGUAUAUUUUCCUUUUUUUAAAUAUUGCUAGAUAUUGAAUUUUAGGGCAAACAAUAUUGUUAUAUAUCUUCCUGUAACUUUUUUGGUUGUUGGGGGGGAUUGGGUAUAAAUUGCAUUCUCCCUUCACACACACUUUGUUCAUUACAUGAGUGGGGCCCUAUCUGAGUUGCUUAGAAUUAGAGAAGAUUGUGUAGUAGUGCCACGAUGAAUGUACUUCCCAAGUGGUCAUUGUGAGAAUCCCAGCUAGAGUUUGUUUACUUCAUUGGUACUCUCACUUCUUGUUGUUUACCAAUUGUCGUGGGAAAUUCCAUGAAGUGGGCCAUAGCUCUAGUGACCUUGAUCUUUAAGUAUUAGGGAACUAUCCUUGUGAGCAUAUAUAGUUUGCCUUAGAACUUUAAACUUUAAGUUUCGAACCUCGAUUAAGGCACAAAAGGGAGACCAUUUGCAUCCUUUACCAUCAAUUUUUCUUGUAUAUAGUAAUAAAUCUAUCACAUUUUUUUGCCUCCUAAGGUAUAAGGAUAUAUUUCAUUAGUAUAUAAUGUGAAUAAGUGCCUAGUGAGGCAUAACCAUGCAUUGCAUUUCAUUUUGUGGUCAUUCAUGGUACUCUGUCCAUAGUUUCAAACACAUAGCAUGCAUAUGCAUAAUAAAAAAAAAAUCUAAAAAAAAAUUGCACUGCAAUAAAUUAAAUUUUUUUCCCAUUUUUAUCAAAUUUUUGUUAUCUUUGUUAGGGAAAUGAGAAAAUAAUGAAACAUUUUGUCAAAUCAGUGCAUGAAUAAAUAAAUGAAAUUAAUAUUUAAUAACAUUUCUUUUGAAGCAUUAAUCUAAUCUACAUGCAUGAGAUUGCUCAAGUCCAUCUCCCUUUCUAUCUUUCUUCCACCAUAAAAUUUGUUUUCAAUUCCAUGGAGGAUUAUCAUAAAGGGGACACAUACCUUAAAAUGAUUACCAGAAAUUCUCUAAACACAAAAAAACAAAAAAAAAAUGAAGAAAAAUCAACUAGACUGAAAACUCUGAAGGACAGUCUAGGCAAAAAAAUAAGACAAGAAAAGUGAGAAAAACGAAUAUAACAAAACAAGGGGUAUCCUGUCACAUGAAAUCAAUUAUUUUCCUGUGAAUUAAAUUUUUUUGAGAAAAACAAUCAUGAUUCGAAAUGAUGUGUGGCCAUGUUUCUUUAUACAAAAAAAUUAUCCUUUGCUACCCAAUUUGAACCUUCAAAAAAAAAAAAAAAACUCUUUCAAAUUACCCUAAAAAAGGGUCACCAUCACACUAAGGGUUGACAUAAUGUUUGCAUUUGUUUCAUUUGACUAGUAGUUCACCAGUACAAAAAUAUCAAAAAAUAAAAAAGAAAUGGUUACAUUAAGAAAAGAAAAAGAGAAGCAAAAGGUGAACAAGAAGAAGUCAAACAAAUAUUGAAUGAAACAUUAUUCAAAGAUCUUUGUUUGAAACAACCUUCACAUCACUUGUUUGGGCCUUUACUAUCAUUUAGUUCCAUACCCCUAGCAUUGGUCAUGAGACAAGCCUAAUAAAGUCCACACAGAUAAAAGAUUGGUUGUUAAUCUUUCAAAGAUUUUAAUUCAGAGGAAAAUUUUGAUUAGUUAAUAGGUUUGUUCUAAAAAAAUAAAAAAAGAUUAAAAAAGCGAGUUUAGGAAAUUAAGCUAAAUUUUGGUUGUCCCCUUUCAACUCAUUCUUCAUGAAAUUCCAUCUUUGCUCAUAUAGUAUCCUCCGUUCUAAGCCUAAACCUGACCAACCUUAAGAUAGUCUAUCUUUAACAAUCCCAAACUCAAACUGAGCAAUCAUUUUGUUUGUAAUUCAUAUAUUCUCAUCAUUCAUUCUGAAUUGGGACAUUUAUUUACGUUGAAGACUGUGAUCACAUUAGGGGAAACUUGUGAAGACCCUGUCUUUUUUUCAAUCUCCUCAGUUGGGAAAAGUCAAACAUGCUUUUACACCCUAAGACCAUCCCAAGCUCUCACACUAAGGGAAAUUUUUAAAGUCCCUAUCAUUUCCUUCAUACCAUCAAUAAUUAGGGAAAGGUCAAACAUAUUUUAUGCCCCGAAACUAGUUCAAAUUGGGGCAACUUCCUAGUUAAUCUUCAUCUUCUCAUUCGAGCCUUUUCAAGCCCUUGGCAAUUUCAUGCAUGUUAUUUCAAAUAGUGUUUCAAAAGAAAUGAUUAAAAAAAGUUCGUUAGUAAACUGAUUAGACUAAAGAAAUGAUUUGGAAAAGUAAAAAAAUAUCAAAGUAGAAUGAUGGCCAGACAAAAGUGGUAAAAAUAACAAUGCAAUGAGAAUCAAUUUGAAUUUGUUUUCAAAAAAUUAAAAAAAGAUGGCCAGACAAAAGUGGUAAAUAAAACUCUUGUUUUGGAAGUUCUUGUAGGGUAAGUUUGGUACAAAGCUUCUAUUUUCUACAACUCGUCAUCCUCAAAUAGAUGGCCAGACAAAAGUGGUAAAUAGAACUCUUUCGCAACUCUUUAGAUGUUUUUUAAACAAAAUUAGAAAACUUUGGAGGAGUGGUUACCUCAUGUGGAUUUUUCUUAUAAUAGGGUAGUUCAUUCCACUACUCAGAUGUCUCCUUUUGAGAUAGUAUAUGGUUUUAAUCAUUUAACUCCAUUAGAUUUGUUACCUUUACCUGAUAUUAGUUUAGGGUUUAGGGUUUAGGGUUUAGGUUUUAUGACUAACAUAGAUGGACUUGCCAAAACAACUUUUGUCAGGAACUUGCAUAAAGAGGUAAAGGCCCAAAUAGAAAAGAAGAUGGAGAAGUUAGCCUCUAGAGCUAACCCAGGGAGGAAGCAGAUCAAGUUUGAACCUAGCGAUUGGGUGUGGGUUCACUUUAGGAAGGAGAUAUUUCCUUUUAAAAGGAAAUCUAAACUUUUACCAAGAGGAUAUUGACCAUUUCAAGUUCCUUAAAAGAUCAAUGGCAAUGCCUAUGUUGUUGAUCUACCUAAAGAUUAUGGGGUAAGCUCUAGUUUCAAUAUUAAUGAUAGAGGACUAUCCCUAGAUUCCAUACAAGAAGAACUUGAAAAUGAACCUUUACAAUUCAAAGGACCUAUGAGAAAGGCAAGGAGCAAGAGAUUUGAAAGUCAAAUCUAUUCAAGGCUCUUGAUGCUAUAAGCAUUUGUAAGAGGAAAUUCAAAGGAUAUGAAGAUCAUGGCUUAGAGGACUUUUGAAGGAUAGUUAUUAGGAAAUUAGUUUAUAUUUUUAGACUUUGAAUUUUCUUUUAGAAAUUAGUUUAUGUUUUAUGUUUUGGGCUUGGGCCUCCUUGUAAGGUUCUCAAGUUUUCUUAAACUUAUAUGCCUAUAUAUAGAGGUACCAAAACUAAUGUAGACACUUUUAAACAUAUAUUGAAUUUUAUUUCAUUAAAGAGCCGAUUCUCUUUGUUCUUGGCUUAGGGCCUCUGAUUCUUAUCAAAGAUUAACAUCUUUGUGGCGAAUCUUCACUUGACUUAUCAAUCUACUAGACUGUGACGUCCUCCAUCUCUGUCGUAUGUCGCGUUCUUCUCUAACUUAUUCAUGUCUACCUCUUGAGAAUUCAAAUUCAGAAACGAUCAAACUCUUUCCUGGAUAGGAUCGUAUCAAUUGUUAUAUAUGAACUUGGGAUUUGUACUUUUUUUAAGGAAAUUGGACUUCUUGAUGACUUCAACUACUGACACUAUAGGAAAAUUUACAAUAAAUCAAGGAGAAAUACAUUUAUCAAUGAACUAUAGAUGAAGAUAACAUCUACAGAGACUAUGUACUUAAGCACUUCACUAUUAGGAAUCCUACCCAAUGAUAAGGUAUGUUUGUAUUGUGUUGUGUUGUAGUGAACCUCAUACUUUUGUUUCAAACUUUUGUGAAGUACAUUAUGGAGGGUGCAAUUUUUGUGAGGUAUAGGGAGCAAUAAAAUAUUGUUUUGUGGUUUAACAACCUUGUAAAAAAUCAUUAACUUAUGUAGACUACAUAUAUUGGAUAUACACUUAUCUAUCUUUGACAGGUUUAUUAAAGCAUGUGAUACAAGCAACUAAAGAUGUCGAAUAAAAACAUCCAUUUUAGUGCAAAAACUUUAUGUGUUUGCCACUUAUUUUGACUGUUUCCUACAUAUUUUUUGAAAUUAAUUUUUAAUCAUUUUGAAUUAACAUAACCUCUUUGUAAGUGAUGGGGAAACCCACACCUUAGACUGUCGGAAAAAGGGGACAUGCCCAUAUCAGGCAACCAAACUACAAAGUAAAAAACCUUGUGAUUAAUUCACUAAUUAUAAUUUUGCACAAAAUAAUUCAUUUUGUUUGCCAAAUUAUCCAAAAACAUUUGCCACAUAUGCAUAAUAUACUGAUGUCAACUGCACAAAAUACUUUGUGAAUAAAUUAACUACAUGUAAGUUUGUGCAUAAACUUUAGAGGCGUUUGGCACUUAAUUACACAACGUAGAAUAAUUUAUUUUUUAACAAAAUUUUUUAUUUCUUUUAUGUCUUAAACCAUGUCCAUUUAAAGCUAUAGGUAAACCCUCCAACACAAAACCUUUGUGCAAGUGCACAAAUAGUUGUCACCUAUGCCAAGUACUGUUUCAAAUAACUGGUAUAAAAAUAAUAGACUAUUUAACUGUCCCAAAAGUAGGACAUUGUUUGGCACUUAAUUGCACUAUGUUCAAUAUUUAGUAGUUAAACAUUGCCUUUACCAUAAUUUUUCACAUCAUAUGAUUCCACGGAUCUGUAUUGUGUCCACUGUUAACUCUACAUAAGAAUAAUUAUAUCAGUAAACACCAAUAACAUACGUCCAUCCUACAUUUAAUGUUUUUUGUAAAUAUUAAUGGCAUGCCAUUGACAAACACAACCAUCAUCAAAAUUCAUGGUUUUUGAUGAUGUCAUAUCUAGCAAAAAUAAAUGGCCCAAAAUGUUGUAACUAUUUCCCAACCUGCAAAAUGAUAAUUUUUUAAAUUUUGUGAGUUGUAUAAUUAAUUAAGACAUGGAUAACUUGAAAAGUCAAAACCUACUCAUUUGUUAGAGAAAUUGAAAUACUUUUAAUGUCGUCGUUGUUUGAAGCAUGUCUAUAUUUGAUUGCAUAAAUGUCAGUAGCAAUAGAAAUCCAUUACUUUGGACACUAGAUACCUGCAUAAUCCACCCCAAUUAUAUAAUAAAACUUCACAUAAAAAUAUCAUAUCAUUGCAUGACUAAUAAAAGUAUUAAUAAAUCAAAAACCUACCAUAGUGAUUGAAGAUUGACUCCCAAUAUUCAUAACAGGGAUGUGGUGUACAACAUCUAUAGUGCUCGUUUGGUCAUAUUUUAAAUGUUGAAUAACACAAUAAUCAAUCACCACACAAAAAGCCAAGUAAGCAAAUAAAUACAUAUAAUGUUUUCAAUUCCAAACGGUGACCUAAAAACCCUACUUAUUUUAUCGUGGGUUUUUCCUAUCACUUUUGUCGCAUUAGAUUUCUUCAUCUUGCAUAACUUCGUAACUAUUGAUUGCAACCAAAUUGAUCGAGGUCAGCCUUUUCUUGUAACAAUAGUUGGGCUUUGGAUGUGUGCGUUACUUGGCACAAUAGUCCACAUCUUUAACAAAAAAAUCAUCAUACAUUUGAAUUCAUUUUGGACUUCAUCAAAUUUAGCAUGGUUAUAUUCACUUUGGAACUGUCUUUUAAUGGGUGAUUGAGAACCACAAGGUAUUGUCGUAUUCAAGGAUGCAAAGUCAACUUUAUACUCUUUUUCGGCCUUUUGUCAUAAGGCAUUGUCAUAUUGGAUGACAAAUUGUUUAAGUGUGGUACUUGAAUUAAUGAAGCCAUAUUGUAUUGCAUUUUGCAUUGCCUUAUAUUGAUCGGUAAGAUCCCAUAUUGUGCCUUAUUUGACAUGCACCUCAACCACACAUUAAAGAGCCAAACAAAAGUAUUUGUGUCUUCCCUAGAUAGUAAUUUACAUCCUAAUAAAAUUGAUUGACCAUGGUGGUUAAUCCCCACAAACGGUGUGAAGGGCAUGUCAUAUUUGUUUGUCAAAUACGUUGUAUCGAAGGACACAACGUCUUCGAAAUCAUGACAUGCGGAUCAGCUCCUUGCAUCCGCCCAAAAAAUCUUACGUAUACGAUCUUCGGAGUCCAAGUCAAUCUUGUAAUAGAAAAUACUAUUUAGUUCUCUCAUGCAGGAGAAGUGAUUUAGCAAUGCUUGUUCGUCCCCAUUCUUUCCCAAGGCACACCUUAUGACUUCUAAGUAGUUUCUUACGUCACACUCAACAAAGUCCAGGUUCUCAAAAUCGCCUGCAUAAAAAACCAACGAUCGAAAACUCUUAUUGAUACGCACUCUUGCCUCAUCAUUUAUGUCAAGGGUUCUCUUUGCAUGCAUAUUUAUGAUUUUGUUACCUCUAAUUAACCUUGACUUUCCUGGGCUAAUAUCAUGGUUGUGUUCGUGCAUGACAGUUGUAUGCACCAUUUUCCUUCUUUUUUAAGUGUAGUCAUUUGAGUAGGGCAAUUCUUCCUUUGGGUACGAAGUGUCUUCUUCUCUAGAGAGAUUGAGGACACAUAAUUUCCUUCCUGUGAGCAGAAAACUUCAAAUAUUAAAUCUUCCCAUCCAAAUCUUUUUGUAAAGUUCUUAUCCUCACCCAAAAUCCUUUUCGAAUAGCAUAAUCCUUGUAAAAGUUUUUGACCUCGUCCGCUAUUUCGAACGACAUCCUAACAGUGGAGACCAUAAGUUGGUUUAAGUCUCCACCUUCAUUAUUACGGCUAAUGGAUACUAGCGCAUCAGUGGUUGUUUGACAAAGGUCGUCCUCAUACAAAAUAAUCUAAUGUAGUCCUAAUGUGGGUGGCUUCCACGUUUUCCAUAGUCAAACUUCGUGAAAAUGUCAUUCUUGACACAUAACUUUCAUUUGCAUUACGAAAUCAUGAACAAACCAAAUAAACAUCAACUUCUACUACACAUUUAUUGGUAAGAGAACUAUAAAGGCCACGAACCACACAUUACAAAGUAAAAGAAACAUAUCUUUACGCAAGUCUUUAUGGGUGAAGUUAAUAUCUUUAGCAAAACCCAAUGAUUAUGGAACUUUAAAUGAAACAUAAUUUUUUUAGGUAUGUUCUGCAACAAUCAAAGAUGGAGCGGAAGGUAUUAAUUGCUUCAUUUAUGGAAGCAAUGAAUAAUGCACUUACCUCCUUUAUGAAGGACCACAGAGGUUGAAGAGAGUUGGGUGAGAUAAUGAAGGAAGAUGGUGCGAAGUCAUUGUUCAAUAAACAUUGGGAGAUGAAUUGCUCUUCUUAGUUGCAUUGUCGUGCAUUGAGUGACCCAACUGGGGUGGAUGGAACAUCACUCCUUCUUACAAUGCAACAAAACGCGUUUGGGUGAUAUGAAAAUGUGCCCAAGAAGCAAAUAUUAGGGUAAAUUGGUAAAUUGUCCAAAGUAAUUUAAUGUAAUAUAAAUAGGGUUCCACUUCAUUAAAUCUUGAAGUAAAGACAACGUAUCUCACUCUUUACCAUCCAAGAGGUAAACAUGAGUUACUUCAAUUCUCACAAUGUUGUUGUUCGUAUAACUUUGCAAACAUAAAUCAUCUUUUUUUAUUGUGUUCUUUUACAUAAUUUUUUUUGACCAUUGAAAUACAGGUGCUGAAAUGGAACCGUGGAGGGAUUGCAUAUUGAUGGCUCAAAUAUGGAAUCAAUUUUCAGGAAGUGCAACUCAAAUAUCGAUCUUAUUCUUGGUCCAGCUGGGAAUGUCCCAGCAUUUUAUUAAACAGGGAAUAAGAUGAAGCCAAAAACACUCAACAAUUUGUGAAGGAAAUUGUUGAUGCAACAUACGAACAUGACUUCAACUCCAACCCAUGAAAAUGGAUGGAAAUGUUUAUCAAGUGUCACGAUAUAAACACCAAAGAGGUUUGUUUUAAUUUAUAUUUUGAAAUAAAAUAUUUAUUAAACUCCAAUGCAGGUUUGGUUGAUGAUGGUGACAUGAAAUUCCUAAGCAAACUAGAUACCAAACUACAUACUCAAAUGUCGUUGGAUAAGGAUCGGUUAGCUUUUGUGGCAUGCAUUGUGAAGGACUGCAAGCACAACAGAUUGGGUGAUAUGAUAGUCACCAUCAAGGAUCAAUCUAGAAUUGCCAAGGCUGGUAUCCAUAAGAAGGUUCUGCAAGAUGGACAAUUUGGUCCAAACAUUGGUAUUAGCUCAGUGAUGCUGUUACAAGAUGUUUUCAUGUUCAACAUAUGCCCCCCAAUUGAGGAUAUAGUGAAGACAUCUGUCAGUCUACUACGCAACAGACUAGGAGAAGAAGUGAGCAUGGACGACAUCUUGAAAAAACUAAAACCUCCAUUAAAUGAAGUAUCUUCAAGUGAUCCCGACUAUACGUCAAAUGCAACAUCAUCCAAUGAUGAUAAUUGAUAAGCUAUGUUUGUUUCCAUUAUUAAUGUUUUCAUGUAGUACUACGUUUGUUUAUUGUUUUCAUGUUUAGGAUUUGAACUUAUAAUUAAGUGGAAAACACUUAGUUAUAUUGCAAACUAAGUAAGUUAUUUUGAAAAACAUAGUUGCCACAGUUGUGUCCAAAUUCUAUUGGGAGUUCUUUGGUGCAGGGUGAAAUGCCCACUUUCCUUA